Molecule: ribosomal RNA, 318 nt
Filed under: uncultured Agaricales
Lineage: Eukaryota; Fungi; Basidiomycota; Agaricomycetes; Agaricales
Description: partial large subunit ribosomal RNA
Rfam family: Eukaryotic large subunit ribosomal RNA
Source: RNAcentral
GUAUCAAUAAGCGGAGGAAAAGAAACUAACAAGGAUUCCCCUAGUAACUGCGAGUGAAGCGGGAAAAGCUCAAAUUUGAAAUCUGGCAGUCUUUGACUUGUCCGAGUUGUAAUCUAGAGAAGUGUUACCUGUGCUGGACCGUGUAAAAGUCUCCUGGAAUGGAGCAUCAUAGAGGGUGAGAAUCCCGUCUUUGACACGGACCCCAGGGCUUCUGUGAUGCGCUCUCAAAGAGUCGAGUUGUUUGGGAAUGCAGCUCAAAAUGGGUGGUGAACUCCAUCUAAAGCUAAAUAUUGGCGAGAGACCGAUAGCGCACAAGUA